Molecule: transfer RNA, 76 nt
Filed under: Ensifer meliloti
Lineage: Bacteria; Pseudomonadati; Pseudomonadota; Alphaproteobacteria; Hyphomicrobiales; Rhizobiaceae
Description: Sinorhizobium meliloti tRNA-Lys
Rfam family: tRNA
About the family: Transfer RNA (tRNA) molecules are approximately 80 nucleotides in length. Their secondary structure includes four short double-helical elements and three loops (D, anti-codon, and T loops). Further hydrogen bonds mediate the characteristic L-shaped molecular structure. tRNAs have two regions of fundamental functional importance: the anti-codon, which is responsible for specific mRNA codon recognition, and the 3' end, to which the tRNAs corresponding amino acid is attached (by aminoacyl-tRNA synthetases). tRNAs cope with the degeneracy of the genetic code in two manners: having more than one tRNA (with a specific anti-codon) for a particular amino acid; and 'wobble' base-pairing, i.e. permitting non-standard base-pairing at the 3rd anti-codon position.
Source: RNAcentral
AAGUGGCUGAUAAAGUUCGCAAUUUCACUGACUUUUAAUCAGUAGGUCCAGGGUUCGAAUCCCUGCGCGCUCACCA